CAAGUCUUGACAUCUGGGUGACAGGAGGGAAAUGCCUCUUUCUCUUCGGAGCAUCCAAAACAGGUGGUGCAUGGUUGUCGUCAGCUCGUGUCGUGAGAUGUUGGGUUAAGUCCCGCAACGAGCGCAACCCUUAUCUUCAGUAGCCAGCGGAAGAAGCCGGGCACUCUGGACAGACUGCCAGGGACAACCUGGAGGAAGGAGGGGAUGACGUCAAAUCCUCAUGCCCCUUAUGACUUGGGCUACACACGUGCUACAAUGGCGUAAACAAAGGGAGGCCAGCGAGCGAUCGUAAGCAAAUCUCAAAAAUAACGUCUAAUGUCGGAUCGUACUCUGCAACUCGACUACGUGAAUCUGGAAUCGCUAAUAAUCGCGAAUCACCAUGUCUCGGUGAAUACGUUCCC
RNAcentral lists this ribosomal RNA (401 nucleotides) under uncultured bacterium. Its description in RNAcentral is "bacterial SSU rRNA". It matches the Rfam family "Bacterial small subunit ribosomal RNA", at positions 975 to 1375 of the family's 1533-position model. The record is from RNAcentral.